UACGGGGGGUGCGAGCGUUGUCCGGAAUCACUGGGCGUAAAGGGCGCGUAGGUGGUUUGAUAAGGGUGUGGUGAAAGUCCGGGGCUCAACCCCGGAUCUGCCGUGCCGACUGUCAAACUCGAGGGCUGUAGAGGCAGACGGAAUUCCGGGUGUAGCGGUGGAAUGCGUAGAGAUCCGGAGGAAGACCGGUGGCGAAGGCGGCCUGCUGGGCAGUUUCUGACACUGAGGCGCGACAGCGUGGGGAGCAAACAGG
This 253-nucleotide ribosomal RNA is filed under the name uncultured bacterium. Its description in RNAcentral is "partial 16S ribosomal RNA". It matches the Rfam family "Bacterial small subunit ribosomal RNA", at positions 524 to 776 of the family's 1533-position model. The record is from RNAcentral.